This 434-nucleotide ribosomal RNA is filed under the name uncultured Lachnospiraceae bacterium. RNAcentral describes it as "partial 16S ribosomal RNA". It matches the Rfam family "Bacterial small subunit ribosomal RNA", at positions 341 to 792 of the family's 1533-position model. Lineage: Bacteria; Bacillati; Bacillota; Clostridia; Lachnospirales; Lachnospiraceae. The record is from RNAcentral.
ACGGGAGGCAGCAGUGGGGGAUAUUGCACAAUGGGGGAAACCCUGAUGCAGCGACGCCGCGUGAGUGAAGAAGUAUUUCGGUAUGUAAAGCUCUAUCAGCAAGGAAGAAAAUGACGGUACUUGACUAAGAAGCUCCGGCUAAAUACGUGCCAGCAGCCGCGGUAAUACGUAUGGAGCAAGCGUUAUCCGGAUUUACUGGGUGUAAAGGGAGCGUAGACGGCAAAGCAAGUCUGAAGUGAAAUCCCGGGGCUCACCCCCGGAACUGCUUUGGAAACUGUUUAGCUAGAGUGCAGGAGAGGUAAGCGGAAUUCCUAGUGUAGCGGUGAAAUGCGUAGAUAUUAGGAGGAACACCAGUGGCGAAGGCGGCUUACUGGACUGUAACUGACGUUGAGGCUCGAAAGCGUGGGGAGCAAACAGGAUUAGAUACCCUGGUA